AUCAUUGAAAAUUGCAGGAUUCAUUGACCUUAAGAAUCCUCCAUUUUUAGUUUGUAGCAAAUUUCCAAGGCCUUCUCCAAGAGGAGGCAAUUGGUAAGGGUCUUCUAGAGGCAUAUCAAUUGGGCUUCCAAAACCACAAGAGCUUUUUGGAGGAGAACAUUCAAAUGACUUCUCAUUCAAGCCCCAUUCACGCAUCAAAGCCUCUGUCUCCAAGUCCUCCAACAUGGAAGCUCUUGUUUUGUUACUUGUUUCCUCAAUUGCUAUCUUGGGUUUCUCCUCAUACAAUUGUGCAGAAGAUGAGUAACCGAAAUUCUCAGAGAUGUUCCUCCAUUGAGAUACACUUGGAGCAUCAAUGGCAAAUUCUUCAAUGUCCAUAUCAAGGUUAAACAAAGAACACCCACCAGCUAGAAUGUCCUUCUCAAAUUGCCUCAAUAAUCG
Molecule: unclassified non-coding RNA, 438 nt
Filed under: Hevea brasiliensis (rubber tree)
Lineage: Eukaryota; Viridiplantae; Streptophyta; Magnoliopsida; Malpighiales; Euphorbiaceae
Source: RNAcentral